This 253-nucleotide ribosomal RNA is filed under the name uncultured bacterium. Its description in RNAcentral is "partial 16S ribosomal RNA". It matches the Rfam family "Bacterial small subunit ribosomal RNA", at positions 524 to 776 of the family's 1533-position model. The record is from RNAcentral.
UACGUAGGAGGCAAGCGUUAUCCGGAAUGACUGGGCGUAAAGGGUGCGUAGGUGGUUUGGCAAGUUAGUAGCGUAAUUCCGGGGCUCAACUUCGGAACUACUACUAAAACUGCUGGGCUUGAGUGCAGGAGGGGCAUAUGGAAUUCCUAGUGUAGCGGUGGAAUGCGUAGAUAUUAGGAGGAACACCAGUGGCGAAGGCGGCCUGCUGGACGGUGACUGACGCUGAGGCUCGAAAGCGUGGGGAGCAAACAGG